This 405-nucleotide ribosomal RNA is filed under the name uncultured bacterium. RNAcentral's name for it is "partial 16S ribosomal RNA". It matches the Rfam family "Bacterial small subunit ribosomal RNA", at positions 30 to 526 of the family's 1533-position model. The record is from RNAcentral.
AUUGAACGCUGGCGGCAGGCCUAACACAUGCAAGUCGAGCGAAGCGGGGACGGGUGAGUAACACGUGGAUAACCUCCUAUAAGACUGGGAUAACUUCGGGAAACCGGAGCUAAACCGGGAACUGAUAAAUGGAUCGGCGCUGCAUUGGCUAGUUGGUAAGGUACCGGCUUACAAAGGAAACGAUGCAUAGCCGACCUGAGAGGGUGAUCGUCCACAUUGGAACUGAGACACGGUCCAGACUCCUACGGGAGGCAGCAGUAGGGAAUCUUCCGCAAUGGGCGAAAGCCUGACGGAGCAACGCCGCGUGAGUGAUGAAGGUCUUCGGAUCGUAAAACUCUGUUAUUAGGGAAGCGGUACCUAAUCAGAAAGCCACGGCUAACUACGUGCCAGCAGCCGCGGUAAUAC